CUCAUAACUGAGGUGGCUACUAAAUGACUAACAGGUGGUAGAGGAGUAAUGUAUACAGCAUGGAGACACUGGGCACAGGAAAAUUGCAAGGUCCACUCCAGAGCCCAUGCCAUUGACUAUAACACUGGAAGUCUGUAAUGUGACUUGCUUAAAUCAAGCAGUUCAAAAAGAUCGUGAUUUCCAUCUUGCUGCCACCCUUUCUGACUGGCAGCUCUUGCUUUGAUGAAGUGAGCUGUCAUGCUGUGAGCACCCUACGGAGAGACCACAUGGCAGGGAAUAGAGGACAGCCUCUGGCCAACUAAUCACCAGUGAGGAACUGAGUUGCUCUGUGCAACCACCCAGCAAUGAAUUGAAUUCUGCCAACAACUGCAUGAGUGAGCUCAGAUGUGGGUUCUUCCCCAGCUGGGCUUUGAGUUACGGACUGAAUGUUUGUGUUCUACAAUUGAUAUGUUUAAGUCCUCAUUCCUGAUGUGAUGGUAUUAGGAGACAAGGCUUUGGGAGGUAACAAAGUCAUGAGGGUAGAACCCAGAGAGCUAUCUCACUUUUUCUGCCAUGUGAGGAUACAAUGAGACGUCAGUUGUCUGCAACCCAGAAGAGGGCUUUCACCAGAGCCCAACCAUGCUGAUACAUGAUCUUGGACUUCCCAGCCUGCAGAAAUGUGAGAAAUAAAUUUUUGUCGUUUAUAA
Molecule: long non-coding RNA, 686 nt
Organism: Eptesicus fuscus (big brown bat)
Lineage: Eukaryota; Metazoa; Chordata; Mammalia; Chiroptera; Vespertilionidae
Exons: 2
Source: RefSeq, a predicted model, not a curated record